CGGACGGGUGAGUAAUGUCUGGGAAACUGCCUGAUGGAGGGGGAUAACUACUGGAAACGGUAGCUAAUACCGCAUAACGUCUUCGGACCAAAGUGGGGGACCUUCGGGCCUCACGCCAUCGGAUGUGCCCAGAUGGGAUUAGCUAGUAGGUGGGGUAAUGGCCCACCUAGGCGACGAUCCCUAGCUGGUCUGAGAGGAUGACCAGCCACACUGGAACUGAGACACGGUCCAG
RNAcentral lists this ribosomal RNA (232 nucleotides) under uncultured bacterium. RNAcentral describes it as "partial 16S ribosomal RNA". It matches the Rfam family "Bacterial small subunit ribosomal RNA", at positions 99 to 334 of the family's 1533-position model. The record is from RNAcentral.